Long non-coding RNA from Oncorhynchus keta (chum salmon), 363 nucleotides. RefSeq lists it as uncharacterized. The transcript is spliced from 3 exons. The record is from RefSeq and is a predicted model, not a curated record. NCBI's taxonomy places the organism in Eukaryota, Metazoa, Chordata, Actinopteri, Salmoniformes, Salmonidae.
UAGGUGUCCAUUCUGAUGCUGUGUGUAUCACUUUACUAGGUGUCCAUUCUGAUGCUGUGUGUAUCACUUUACUAGGUGUCCAUUCUGAUGCUGUGUGUAUCACUUUACUAGGUGUCCAUUCUGAUGCUGUGUGUAUCACUUUACUAGGUGUCCAUUCUGACGCUGUGUGUAUCACUUUACUAGGUGUCCAUUCUGACGCUGUGUGUAUCACUUUACUAGGUGUCCAUUCUGAUGCUGUGUGUAUCACCUUUAGCUCUUAUUUGACCUCAGCCUCAGGAGACUUCCUCCGCUCUGUCAUGUAGACUUUUACCCACUAUCUCAGCUAGAUAUCUCAGCUAGAUCUAAACUAGCUUGCCCAGACAA